GUAGGGAAUAUUGGGCAAUGGAUGCAAGUCUGACCCAGCCAUCCCGCGUGCCGGAAGAAGGCCCUCAGGGUUGUAAACGGCUUUUGACGGUGAAGAAUCGACAGGAUGCGUCCUGUUUUGACGGUAGCCGUUGAAUAAGCACCGGCUAACUCCGUGCCAGCAGCCGCGGUAAUACGGAGGGUGCGAGCGUUGUCCGGAUUUAUUGGGUUUAAAGGGUGCGUAGGCUGGAAGGUCAGUCAGCGGUGAAAAGCUGUCGCUUAACGAUAGUCUGUCCGCAGAUACUUCCUUACUUGGAUGAGGAGGAGGCCACUGGAACGGAUGGUGUAGCGGUGAAAUGCAUAGAUAUCAUCCAGAACACCGAUUGCGAAGGCAGGUGGCUGUACCUUAAUCGACGCUGAUGCACGAAAGCAUGGGGAGCAAACAGGAUUAGAAACCCUUGUAGUCC
RNAcentral lists this ribosomal RNA (445 nucleotides) under uncultured bacterium. Its description in RNAcentral is "partial 16S ribosomal RNA". It matches the Rfam family "Bacterial small subunit ribosomal RNA", at positions 354 to 796 of the family's 1533-position model. The record is from RNAcentral.